CCUACGGGAGGCAGCAGUGAGGAAUAUUGGUCAAUGGACGCAAGUCUGAACCAGCCAUGCCGCGUGCAGGAAGAAGGCCCUACGGGUUGUAAACCUCUGUUGUCAGGGAGCAAGGUGCAGGUCGGGACCUGCUGUGAGAGUACCUGAAGAAAAAGCAUCGGCCAACUCCGUGCCAGCAGCCGCGGUAAUACGGAGGAUGCGAGCGUUAUCCGGUGGUGUUGGGUUUAAGGGGGGCGCAGGCGGAGGCACAAGUCAGCGGUAAAAUCGCGGGGCUCAACCCCGCUCCGCCGGUGAAACUGUGUCCCUUGAGUGCGCGAAGGGUAGGCGGAAUGCGUGGUGUAGCGGUGAAAUGCAUAGAUAUCACGCAGAACUCCGAUCGCGAAGGCAGCCUACCGGCGCGCAACUGACGCUCAUGCACGAAAGCGUGGGUAUCGAACAGGAUUAGAUACCCGGGUAGUC
RNAcentral lists this ribosomal RNA (459 nucleotides) under uncultured bacterium. RNAcentral's name for it is "partial 16S ribosomal RNA". It matches the Rfam family "Bacterial small subunit ribosomal RNA", at positions 338 to 795 of the family's 1533-position model. The record is from RNAcentral.